Molecule: unclassified non-coding RNA, 1341 nt
Filed under: Hevea brasiliensis (rubber tree)
Lineage: Eukaryota; Viridiplantae; Streptophyta; Magnoliopsida; Malpighiales; Euphorbiaceae
Source: RNAcentral
CUCCAUCUCCAGUUCUUUUACCUGCCAAAUCCAAAACAAAGUAACAUAAGCGAUUUAGCCAUAAGUUUCUUUUGUGUGCAAAUGUUGGUUAGUAAUCGAUUGUUCAUAUUCUAUAAUGAAUAUGAUUAUCUACUCAAAGUCAAGUCCAAGCAAAGUGCAGGAAUAUAUAACGAGAAUAUGAUCCUUAUCUAUGAAACUUUUGUACUAAAUGGGUUACUCUCAACACUCCACCUAGUCAUGUGCACUCAAAAAUUAUUAUCAUUGCACUGGACUAGAUACCCUGUUAUUACACGCUAAAUGCAAAAUAGCUAAAGUCAUUAUACAUAUAUAUAAUGAUCACAUGGUUUCAAGACAUGUUCAUAAACAUAACAGACACAUUCUAAGCAUUUAAACUAUUGUAAACAUUAAAACAAAUUAUAUUCAUAUCAUUGAAGAUUUAUCAAAACCAAAGAGUCUUUCACCUAUGAAGUAGAGAUGAGAUCAAAAUAACAGAACAAAGCACUCAAAAUCAUAUUAGAACCAUGAAGAGGCGUGCACCCAUGAGUAAGGGCACACACCCAUUAACAAGGUGUGUCCAAUCCUUUUUGGGUUCCUAGCAGCAAGUUUACAUUUUUCAUUGGAUCCUACGCACUAGACCCAAAUAGGGACGCAUGCCUCUUCUCUGGAUCCUACACUAGACUGAACUUCAAAUGCACAUAUCUCCCUCAUCCGAGAUUGAAUUUAGGUGAUCCACAUAUCACUGAAAGUUAAUAUGUCUCAUUUCUAAUGCAGUAAACCUCAAAUCAAAAUUAUAUCUGGAACUCCAGAUAUGGGCAAAAAAAGAGGCAAAUAUCAUAUUUAACAUGGCAACCAAGGGCCUUUUCUAUCUCAACUUUGGAAGCUUGGUUCUCUCUUCUUUAUCACCGGAUUUUGGCCCAUGACCUAUCAUUGGAAAGCUUGAAAUGUCUAUCAUAAGACACUUCAAACCACUAUCAAGAAUUCCAAACAGAUUGGGAGAUAUGACCCAAACAAGCAGGGUUGUUUGUGGUCAUCUAGGUAGGGGUGUGCAAAACCAAAUAACCGAAAUCAUAGAAAAAGUUUGAACCAAACAGUAGAAAUCAAAUAACCAAAAUCAUAGAAAAUAAGAACCAAAUCAAACUGAAUAACUUCCACUUGGUUCAGUUUGGUUUGUCAGUUAGUAGAGAAAGCCAAACUAUGCCAUUUUUGAUCUGUCAUUCCCCUAAACUCUUUUGUUUCUUCCUCACUCCCCAAACCCCAAUUCCUCAGUCUCCAUUCACCCAUUGCCCAAAUUACCCAGUAGCCAAAACAAUGAGAGGAGAAUGGACAGUUAUAAUCCCAGUU